AUUUCCCUAGUACGGCGAGUGAAGAGGGAAGAGCCCAAGAUUGAAAGCUGGCGCCUUCGGCGUCCGAUGAAUCUCAAGAAGUGUUUUCCGCUUCGGACCAUGCCUAAGUCCCUUGGAAAAGGGCAUCAUAGAGGGUGAUAAUCCCGUACAUGGCAUGGAGCGCCCGAAGCUUUGUGAUACGCUUUCUAAGAGUCGAGUUGUUUGGGAAUGCAGCUCAAAAUGGGUGGUAAAUGCCAUCUAAGGCUAAAUAUUGGGGAGAGACCGAUAGCGAACAAGUACAGUGAUGGAAAGAUGAAAAGAACUUUGAAAAGAGAGUUAAACAGUACGUGAAAUUGCCAAAAGGGAAGGGUAGGAGGUCAGAGAUGCGUUCUAGGAUUCAGCCUUGCUUUUGCAUGGUGUUUUUUCUAGUUUGCAGGCCAACGUCGGUUUUGGGCACUGGAGAAGGGUGGAAGGAAUGUGGCACCUCUCGGGGUGUGUUAUAGCCUUCUACUGGAUACAGCGACCGAGACCGAGGACAGCAGCGUACUCGCAAGAGCGGGCCUUCGGGCACCUUUACGCUUAGGGCGUUGGCAUAAUGGCCCUCUACCACCCGUCUUGAAACACGGACC
RNAcentral lists this ribosomal RNA (608 nucleotides) under Kalmanozyma fusiformata. RNAcentral describes it as "eukaryotic LSU rRNA". It matches the Rfam family "Eukaryotic large subunit ribosomal RNA", at positions 74 to 667 of the family's 3401-position model. The record is from RNAcentral. Lineage: Eukaryota; Fungi; Basidiomycota; Ustilaginomycetes; Ustilaginales.